AGCACCUACGGGUGUGAAGUCAUUGAUGCCAUGCUUCCAGGAAAAGCCUCUAAGCUUCAGAUUGUAAGGAAUCGUACCCCAAACCGACACAGGUGGUCGGGUAGAGAAUACCAAGGCGCUUGAGAGAACUCGGGUGAAGGAACUAGGCAAAAUGGUACCGUAACUUCGGGAGAAGGUACGCUCUUGAUGGUGAAGUCCCUCGCGGAUGGAGCUGACGAGAGUCGCAGAUACCAGGUGGCUGCAACUGUUUAUUAAAAACACAGCACUGUGCAAAAUCGUAAGAUGACGUAUACGGUGUGACGCCUGCCCGGUGCCGGAAGGUUAAUUGAUGGGGUUAGACUUCGGUCGAAGCUCUUGAUCGAAGCCCCGGUAAACGGCGGCCGUAACUAUAACGGUCCUAAGGUAGCGAAAUUCCUUGUCGGGUAAGUUCCGACCUGCACGAAUGGCGUAAUGAUGGCCACGCUGUCUCCACCCGAGACUCAGUGAAAUUGAAAUCGCUGUGAAGAUGCAGUGUACCCGCGGCUAGACGGAAAGACCCCGUGAACCUUUACUACAGCUUGGCACUGAACAUUGACCCUACAUGUGUAGGAUAGGUGGGAGGCUUUGAAGCACGUACGCCAGUAUGUGUGGAGCCGUCCUUGAAAUACCACCCUUGUAGUGUUGAUGUUCUAACGUCGACCCCUUAUCGGGGUUGCGGACAGUGCCUGGUGGGUAGUUUGACUGGGGCGGUCUCCUCCCAAAGAGUAACGGAGGAGCACGAAGGUGGGCUAAUCACGGUUGGACAUCGUGAGGUUAGUGCAAUGGCAUAAGCCCGCUUGACUGCGAGAAUGACAAUUCGAGCAGGUGCGAAAGCAGGUCAUAGUGAUCCGGUGGUUCUGAAUGGAAGGGCCAUCGCUCAACGGAUAAAAGGUACUCCGGGGAUAACAGGCUGAUACCGCCCAAGAGUUCAUAUCGACGGCGGUGUUUGGCACCUCGAUGUCGGCUCAUCACAUCCUGGGGCUGAAGUCGGUCCCAAGGGUAUGGCUGUUCGCCAUUUAAAGUGGUACGCGAGCUGGGUUUAGAACGUCGUGAGACAGUUCGGUCCCUAUCUGCCGUGGGCGUUGGAAGAUUGAAGGGGGCUGCUCCUAGUACGAGAGGACCGGAGUGGACGAACCUCUGGUGUUCGGGUUGUGUCGCCAGACGCAUUGCCCGGUAGCUAAGUUCGGAAUCGAUAACCGCUGAAAGCAUCUAAGCGGGAAGCGAGCCCUGAGAUGAGUCUUCCCUGAUACUUUAAGUAUCCUAAAGGGUUGUCGGAGACUACGACGUUGAUAGGUCAGGUGUGUAAGUGCUGUGAGGCAUUGAGCUAACUGAUACUAAUUGCCCGUGAGGCUUAACCAUACAACAC
This 1384-nucleotide ribosomal RNA is filed under the name Vibrio parahaemolyticus. RNAcentral describes it as "partial 23S ribosomal RNA". It matches the Rfam family "Bacterial large subunit ribosomal RNA", at positions 1572 to 2925 of the family's 2925-position model. The record is from RNAcentral. Lineage: Bacteria; Pseudomonadati; Pseudomonadota; Gammaproteobacteria; Vibrionales; Vibrionaceae.